GCCCUUAUAGCUCAGUGGUAGAGCGCUUGACUUGUAAUCAAGAGGUCUGUAGUUCAAUCCUGCAUGGGGGCA
This is a transfer RNA of Aspergillus tubingensis CBS 134.48, 72 nucleotides long. It matches the Rfam family "tRNA". Rfam says of the family: Transfer RNA (tRNA) molecules are approximately 80 nucleotides in length. The record is from Rfam. Lineage: Eukaryota; Fungi; Ascomycota; Eurotiomycetes; Eurotiales; Aspergillaceae.